AAGACUAUACUUUCAGGGAUCAUUUCUAUAGUUCGUUACUUGAGAAAUGUGUGUCUAAAGUGGUAGGUCUCGCUCUCCAUGAUGACGAUUCAAGAUAUUCCCAUUCAGAGCAUGAAUUCUGGUGGCUAGAAAUGACCUUUGCUCAUGUUUCUUCAACCUUUGAUGAUCUUUUCCUUGUUCUUCAAUGAACAUGCAUGAAGGGAAUAUGUUUCUGAGUGGA
Molecule: small nucleolar RNA, 220 nt
Filed under: Salmo salar (Atlantic salmon)
Lineage: Eukaryota; Metazoa; Chordata; Actinopteri; Salmoniformes; Salmonidae
Description: Small nucleolar RNA U3
Rfam family: Small nucleolar RNA U3
About the family: Small nucleolar RNAs (snoRNAs) are involved in the processing and modification of rRNA in the nucleolus. There are two main classes of snoRNAs: the box C/D class, and the box H/ACA class.
Source: Rfam by way of RNAcentral